Acipenser ruthenus (sterlet) is the source of this 1429-nucleotide long non-coding RNA. RefSeq lists it as uncharacterized. NCBI's taxonomy places the organism in Eukaryota, Metazoa, Chordata, Actinopteri, Acipenseriformes, Acipenseridae. The transcript is spliced from 3 exons. The record is from RefSeq and is a predicted model, not a curated record.
UUGUACCACAACCUGACUCGACCAGGGUAAAUUGGAGUUACCGGGUACCAUCUGUGUCUUUCGUAACUUUAUCAUGCACAAACGAUGCUUUACUUUUUGCUAGCCCUGCUGUCUUUUAUUUUCUGCCCCUGGUCAUCCGUGGAAUGACCCUGAAGAGAUGGACUGUGUUUUAUUGCAGUAUAACAGCCUGUGGAUUUUUCUCCCUGUGCAGAACCCCGAUAAUGGGACGCCAUGCAGGCGAGUAAAUGCCAAGAAAGGGCUGCAAGUAAAUUCACAGCCCUUCUUGUACAACGAUCAAACCAACGUGAAGGCAGUGAUCGGCCCCAUGUUCAGCAGCAUAGCCUUGAGUUUGGGACCCAUUCUGAGUCCCUUUCUUAUGCCACAGGUGAGGGGCGAUGCUUCAGCUACUGUCAGUUUCAGUGGACCCUGACUGCCCUCCUCGGAAGUGAGAGAGACAGUGCAGAGUCUAUCUAAACUGGCAUUGAAAUACUUGAUUUGCAUAGCUUAUCAAGCCAUCCUACCCUAUUACAGCGAAGACACAAGGACUGAAAUGCUACAGAUGAUUAAAGGCAGAGAUGCCCGGCUUUGCCGAGUUCGAAUCUUUCUAUUGAAUCGGAGAACUCUAAGGCCAACGAGGAACCAGUGUGCUAGAGUGAAACUUUCUCCGAGAUCCUCGCCUGUUACCAGGUAUGCGACCAGUGCAGGUCACUGAAUUCUACAGACGUGCCCUCCCUGCUGGAAGCCUUCGAUAUUCAAUGUUCAUUCAAUGUCUACACCGCCGUGUACGCUGUUGCACACGCACUGCACCAGUUACUAGGCUGCAACUCUGGAGAGUAUUAUUAUUCACUGUGGCCUGGUUUACAGUUUCAACAAAAUAAACCCCGUAAACAGCCUGACUAAAUACCGAACUCCAAUUACUUGUAUAUCUUUUGUAAGCCAGCUAUCUUUGUGUAUUCAUAAUUAAUAUACAUUUAUUUAUUUAUUUAUUUUUUAAAUCAGUUGCACUAUUCUCCCAUUAAGUGUGUGAUUCUUUAACCAAAUACUGAAGAAUAUAUACACUCAGAAGUAAGCAGGCUUCUGGUGUAAUCUAUUAUAAAGUUGGAGUCAUCUAUCUUUUUAAAUAUACAGUAAAGAACAUUUAAUGGGUCUACUCUAAACCAUUCUGCUGAUGUAAACCAUCCAGCUACUGCAAGAUUUGCAUCUCGGUUUAACAAUUUCUGAAAUGCAACCGGUCAACUUAUUUCCUGUUAUGGAUGUGUAGCCACACCGGUUGUAUGACAAGACACAUGCAAAUCUUAAACUUUGUGCUUAGAUGUGCUGAUGUCAACUUAGCAGAGAAAGCCAUGCUGUAUGUUAAUCUGCAGAUAAAAUAAUAAGAAAACCUUUACUAUUAUUAUUAUUAUUAUUAAACAUGACUUAUUUUGUUUUA